Molecule: ribosomal RNA, 460 nt
Filed under: uncultured bacterium
Lineage: Bacteria
Description: partial 16S ribosomal RNA
Rfam family: Bacterial small subunit ribosomal RNA
Source: RNAcentral
CCUACGGGAGGCUGCAGUGAGGAAUAUUGGUCAAUGGGCGCAAGCCUGAACCAGUCAAGUCGCGUGAGGGAUGACGGUCCUAUGGAUUGUAAACCUCUUUUGUCGGGGAGCAAGGCCCGCCACGUGUGGCGGGAAGGAGAGUACCCGAAGAAAAAGCAUCGGCUAACUCCGUGCCAGCAGCCGCGGUAAUACGGGGGAUGCGAGCGUUAUCCGGAUUUAUUGGGUUUAAAGGGUGCGUAGGCGGAAGGUUAAGUCAGCGGUCAAAUGUCGGUGCUCAACACCGGCCUGCCGUUGAAACUGGUCGUCUUGAGUGAGCGAGAAGUAUGCGGAAUGCGUGGUGUAGCGGUGAAAUGCAUAGAUAUCACGCAGAACUCCGAUUGCGAAGGCAGCAUACCGGCGCUCAACUGACGCUGAGGCACGAAAGCGUGGGGAUCGAACAGGAUUAGAUACCCUAGUAGUC